GCAAAAUAAUAUUUCAUUUCACAGGCAAAAUUUUUGGAAUCAAGUGCUACCGCUGGUAAGAGAAAUUGUCUUCAUCAAGAUAACUGAAUGGGUACUUCACUGAUAACGCUUCCUAUACUUCCAGUGGCAUGGACAGGAUCAGCAAUUAUCUUCCUGAUUCGACUCCCAUUGAUAAUCGCUAGACUCAUAUUGAAAAUCUUCACAAGCCCGUUAAAAUUCACAAUAAGCUUACCCUUUAAAAUCAUAAAACUUCCAUUCAAUAUAGCGGAUUCACUGAUUGAUUUAUUAUUUUUCAUUGUGCGUCUGCCAUUUACUUCUAUAUAUACUAUCCUAAAGCUACCUUUUUGGUUUGUAAAACAACUUUGAGUAUAACAUGUACACUUUGGAAGGUGCAGUUAAAGUUAUUAUUGUUGAAUGUGAAUAUUUCAAAUAAAUGAAAUGUUUGUUCAAUAAUA
This is a long non-coding RNA of Leptinotarsa decemlineata (Colorado potato beetle), 455 nucleotides long. RefSeq lists it as uncharacterized. Lineage: Eukaryota; Metazoa; Arthropoda; Insecta; Coleoptera; Chrysomelidae. The record is from RefSeq and is a predicted model, not a curated record.